This 63-nucleotide transfer RNA is filed under the name Rhynchophorus ferrugineus (red palm weevil). Its description in RNAcentral is "tRNA-Asn". Lineage: Eukaryota; Metazoa; Arthropoda; Insecta; Coleoptera; Curculionidae. The record is from RNAcentral.
UUUUAUAUAAAUUUUUAUUAUAACUUUCAUUUAAAUUAUUUAAAUUGUUAUUUUACGUAAAUU